Molecule: transfer RNA, 73 nt
Filed under: Pelodiscus sinensis (Chinese soft-shelled turtle)
Lineage: Eukaryota; Metazoa; Chordata; Testudines; Trionychidae
Rfam family: tRNA
About the family: Transfer RNA (tRNA) molecules are approximately 80 nucleotides in length. Their secondary structure includes four short double-helical elements and three loops (D, anti-codon, and T loops).
Source: Rfam by way of RNAcentral
UCCAGCAUGGCUCAGAGGAUAGGGCAUUUGCCUGGGGAGCCAAGGGUGGCAGGUUCAAGCCCUGCCCCAGGAG